GAAAUAGAUGAAAAAUAAUUUAAUUUUGAAUUUUUGUGCUCAUGAAACAUAAGAAAAGUAAUAUUUUUCAUUAAAAUAAAAAUUUAAUAUAAGGCUUAGCAACUAUUGUGUGUAAAUCAUGCUGGUGCAUUUUAUUUUUGAGAUGAGUGAUUUUUGACCAAAGUUUGAAAUAUUUCAAACAGAUUUCUAAAUGGAUUUGAAAUAGGCUUUGAAUUGAAGAAAGAGAAAAGAAAAGGAAACCCACACCUCUCCCUCUCUCAGAUUUUGGCCU
RNAcentral lists this long non-coding RNA (271 nucleotides) under Sorghum bicolor (sorghum). Its description in RNAcentral is "long non-coding RNA (SBIC_LNC007226)". Lineage: Eukaryota; Viridiplantae; Streptophyta; Magnoliopsida; Poales; Poaceae. The record is from RNAcentral.